Molecule: long non-coding RNA, 304 nt
Filed under: Numida meleagris (helmeted guineafowl)
Lineage: Eukaryota; Metazoa; Chordata; Aves; Galliformes; Numididae
Description: lncRNA (ENSNMEG00000009156.1)
Source: RNAcentral
CGCCUUGAAGCUUUCACGUGUGAACACAAAUUUAAUAAUAAUGAUACCCAAGAUGAGCUGCAUGAAUGCUGCUGUGGGAAUCCUUGAAUGGUGGAGAGGAAGAUUCCAUAACUCUGGGCAGUGGAUAAAGCUGCUUUAACCAGGAUGCUGGAGUGCCAGUAGGGACCACUGGGAGAGACAGACCUAUGCAGAGGUAAAAAGCAACUAGCAAGAGACCACAGCUGUUCCUAGUUGACCUCAAGCUCCAGCUGAAGCUUUUCUUAUGAACAGAACACUUACUAGGUCAGACAAUCUGUACAGACUC